This 253-nucleotide ribosomal RNA is filed under the name uncultured bacterium. Its description in RNAcentral is "partial 16S ribosomal RNA". It matches the Rfam family "Bacterial small subunit ribosomal RNA", at positions 524 to 776 of the family's 1533-position model. The record is from RNAcentral.
UAGGAAGGGGGCAAGCGUGAGGCGGAAUUACUGGGCGUAAAGGGUGCGUAGGCGGGUGUUUAAGUCUGUUGGGAAAUCCCCGGGCUCAACCUGGGAAUGGCAAUGGAUACUGGACGGCUAGAGUGUGUCAGAGGAUGGUGGAAUUUCCGGUGUAGCGGUGAAAUGCGUAGAGAUCGGAAGGAACAUCAGUGGCGAAGGCGGCCAUCUGGGACAACACUGACGCUGAAGCACGAAAGCGUGGGGAGCAAACAGG